RNAcentral lists this ribosomal RNA (498 nucleotides) under uncultured bacterium. Its description in RNAcentral is "partial 16S ribosomal RNA". It matches the Rfam family "Bacterial small subunit ribosomal RNA", at positions 28 to 508 of the family's 1533-position model. The record is from RNAcentral.
GAUGAACGCUGGCGGCGUGCCUAAUACAUGCAAGUCGAGCGAACAGACGAGGAGCUUGCUCCUCUGACGUUAGCGGCGGACGGGUGAGUAACACGUGGAUAACCUACCUAUAAGACUGGGAUAACUUCGGGAAACCGGAGCUAAUACCGGAUAAUAUAUUGAACCGCAUGGUUCAAUAGUGAAAGACGGUUUUGCUGUCACUUAUAGAUGGAUCCGCGCCGCAUUAGCUAGUUGGUAAGGUAACGGCUUACCAAGGCAACGAUGCGUAGCCGACCUGAGAGGGUGAUCGGCCACACUGGAACUGAGACACGGUCCAGACUCCUACGGGAGGCAGCAGGAGGGAAUCUUCCGCAAUGGGCGAAAGCUUGACGGAGCAACGCCGCGUGAGUGAUGAAGGUCUUCGGAUCGUAAAACUCUGUUAUUAGGGAAGAACAAAUGUGUAAGUAACUAUGCACGUCUUGACGGUACCUAAUCAGAAAGCCACGGCUAACUACGUGC